RNAcentral lists this long non-coding RNA (352 nucleotides) under Androctonus crassicauda. Lineage: Eukaryota; Metazoa; Arthropoda; Arachnida; Scorpiones; Buthidae. The record is from RNAcentral.
GUCAGCAAAGACGUCUAGUGGGGCCUUGGGUCCGGCAGUACCCACGUCACCUACAGCCUCUCAGUUGCCUUCUGUGGACCCGUGGACAUGUGGCCAGGAUGAACAGAGACACCUGCCUGGCAUUUCAUCUGGGAGCCAGGCGACUUCGCCAGGUGUCAUCCAACAGAGGGCUCCAUCUGCUGGGACUGUACUGUGGGGUCAGCUCCAGAUCUGUGACUGCUCUUGGCUGCUGACCCAAGAGGAGACGCUGUCGGAGGAGAGUAGCUUUUCCAUCUGGACACAAAACAAGGGCCCUUUGUAGGAUUUUCUUCAGUCUUCUAUUUUGCCAGACCUGUCACCUAACUGAGUUCAU